This 533-nucleotide ribosomal RNA is filed under the name uncultured bacterium. Its description in RNAcentral is "partial 16S ribosomal RNA". It matches the Rfam family "Bacterial small subunit ribosomal RNA", at positions 340 to 865 of the family's 1533-position model. The record is from RNAcentral.
UCCGGGAGGCAGCAGUGGGGAAUAUUGGACAANGGNNNAAANCCUGAUCCAGNCAUNCCGCGUGUGUGAANAAGGUCUUCGGAUUGUAAAGCANUUUAAGUUGGGAGGAAGGGCAGUAAAUUAAUACUUUGCUGUUUUGACGUUACCGACAGAAUAAGCACCGGCUAACUNNGUGCCAGCAGCCGCGGUAAUACAGAGGGUGCAAGCGUUAAUCGGAAUUACUGGGCGUAAAGCGCGCGUAGGUGGUUAGUUAAGUUGGAUGUGAAAUCCCCGGGCUCAACCUGGGAACUGCAUUCAAAACUGGCAAGCUAGAGUACGGGAGAGGGUGGUGGAAUUUCCUGUGUAGCGGUGAAAUGCGUAGAUAUNGGAAGGAACACCAGUGGCGAAGGCGACCUCCUGGACUGAUACUGACACUGAGGUGNGAAAGCGUGGGGAGCAAACAGGAUUAGAUACCCUGGUAGUCCACGCCGUAAACGAUNNNAACUAGCCGUUGGGAUCCUUGAGCUUUUAGUGGCGCAGCUAACGCAUUAAGU